GUCCACGCCCUAAACGAUGUGCACUAGGUAUUGGGAGUAUCGACCCUCUCAGUGCCGUUUAAAAAGCUAACGCGUUAAGUGCACCGCCUGGGGACUACGGCCGCAAGGUUAAAACUCAAAGGAAUAGACGGGGACCCCGCACAAGUAGAGGAUCAUGCGGUUUAAUUCGACGGUACGCGGAAACCUUACCUGGGCUCAACUACUAGCUGCAAGCUUGAUGAAAGUCGAGCCGCUCUCGAGGGUGCUAGAUAGGUGCUGCAUGGUUGCCGU
RNAcentral lists this ribosomal RNA (270 nucleotides) under uncultured bacterium. Its description in RNAcentral is "partial 16S ribosomal RNA". It matches the Rfam family "Bacterial small subunit ribosomal RNA", at positions 793 to 1055 of the family's 1533-position model. The record is from RNAcentral.